RNAcentral lists this small nucleolar RNA (93 nucleotides) under Chlamydomonas reinhardtii. RNAcentral's name for it is "CrCD10f snoRNA". The record is from RNAcentral. Lineage: Eukaryota; Viridiplantae; Chlorophyta; Chlorophyceae; Chlamydomonadales; Chlamydomonadaceae.
ACGGCGAUGACUGCCCUCGAGUGCCUAACUCGUCUUACCUAUUUUCAGAACCCCCACAAGGGGCGCUGCUGAAAGCAAUAGUUGAUGAGCCGU